RNAcentral lists this non-coding RNA (25 nucleotides) under Rattus norvegicus (Norway rat). Lineage: Eukaryota; Metazoa; Chordata; Mammalia; Rodentia; Muridae. The record is from RNAcentral.
UGGUGACUACCGCACAGCAUAACGA